Molecule: long non-coding RNA, 8007 nt
Organism: Dreissena polymorpha
Lineage: Eukaryota; Metazoa; Mollusca; Bivalvia; Myida; Dreissenidae
Exons: 2
Source: RefSeq, a predicted model, not a curated record
UUGAUUGUUAAAAACAUCACCGACAGGAGGUAGGGAUUUUUCCCAAUAUGGGUUAAAAGAUUUUGACAAUCUGGUUGCACUUCAAAAUAAGCUCUCACAAUGUUCCUCGAGUGACCAUUCACCAUCAGUCUUUGACUCAUGGCAAAACAUUGCCGCCAAGGGAAGGGGGCAUGACAGUUUUCCUUGUAUGGCUCUUUGCGAACCUCUUGGUCAUCAGUCGGUCAGAAACCACUUGGAGUUGGAGAUAAUAUCAAGGAAAUCUAUCUCCAUUUUACUAGUACACAAUUAUGUAUUACAUUAAUUGAAAUUAUUUGUUGUGAUUCUGUUAACCUUAUACCGCUCAAAAACGCACUUUGAUGCCUUUGAAGUCCUUUUGAAAAUCAAAUUGAAUUUUAGUCCUUUCUAAAUAUAUUCAAGUUUGAAAGACUUCAUGUCCAACCCAAAGUUACUGAUGAGCAGCAAACAGCAUUAAACCUGAGCAGACUGCGAGUUACUGGCAGGCUGUUCCGGUUUUAUGCUGUUUGCACAAAGCCAUUUUCACUUUGGCUCUGAGUGGGAAUGGGUUAAAAGAACAAAAAUGAAAUAUUAUACUAACAUUUAAUAACGUGCUUGCACAUCAUUAUGGUUCCUUAAACGCAGUUGAGCGAAAUGGGUCAUUUUUGCUGUCUUGUAAAGAAAUGUUGCAAACUAUAAUUUUCUUUAAGCCAAAUAUUCUUUCUGGUAAGUCUGCUAUGUAUUUUGCAGGGUAAAUGAGAUUUGUGCGUUAAUUGUUUUGUGUUCAAUUAAGAUAUGCUAGUUGAAAUUAAAACAUGAAGAAUUUGUUUUGUGAUCAAUUAUUAUACAUUAACAAAUUAUUUCGUUUGGUUGUGAAGGCAAUGCCACAUUUCUAGAGGUCUGGGUUAUAACUGUUUACUAUGUGGACAAAGGGGGAAUUUAAACUUGUUAAAGUUACAACAAUUUUUUAUCCCUUGUCAACAGAAUUUGACCCCUUAACAUUGAUACUAGCAAGCUCAAUAACAACAAAAAUAUGUUUUAUUCCAUUUUCAAUGUACUAAAAUGCAAGUGCAAAUGGCAGAAAAUAAUUUUGUGUACAUAUUUUUUUGACAUAUCUGCCAAACCCAUUCAGCUUAUUAAGUGCUGCCAUUUUGUGCUGUUAAUUUUUGGAAAAAAAGUAUCUGUUGUAAAAUAUGUAGGCUUAACUAAAUUGAAUAAAAUAAACAACAACAAUGUUUAAAAAGAUUUAGAUGUGGGGCAAAUAGACCAUGCACAUGCAAUGUUUUUUUCAUUACAUUUUACAAAUUUAAGGUGCAGCAUAUCUGACAAACAUCUGAUCAAUUUGUUGUGGCCUAUUUAGAAUAUUUCAAAACAAAAAAGUUUUUUUGUGAGAAUUAAGUGUUAUCUUAAUAAUUAGAAUUGUAUAGAAUAAACUUGUUUUGAAUGCAACGUUGAAGCUGUAAGCAAGCUACUACCAUUAAAACUAAGCGUAACUUUAAGCAGAUAUCUGCAAGAUACAAAGGGGCCUAUGAUUUUUUUAGGUCAGUAGGUGUGAUAUCACUCAAUAUUAUGGGGUUUGUCAUAUAAAUCAUGACUGUUAUUUUAUUUGUAAACUUUACUUGAUAUUUUGCAUAACAAUAGGGCAGUCACCUGUUAUUCUCAACAUACAGCAUAAUUGGGUAGAUUUUUGAGUACCUGGUCAUUGUAUGGUUUACGUUGAAAAACUAUUAUAUGUAAACAUAUUUACAAAAAUUUAAAAUUGCAUGCCAAACAAUAGUGUGUUUUAAUGAGAUUAAUAACUUAAUAGUUGUGUUCAAAAACUUCACAUACACACGUAAUCUUUGUAAUCGACUUUGACGUAGGUUGCAGCUGUUGCUUAUAGAUUCAUUAGUUUUUAUUGAUAAAUCAUUAUAAUGGAAAUAAAUUAUUUAAACACUGCAAGUUACAAUUUAAACACAUAAGCUUGUUUUGUAUACAGAUAUUCUUUGUAUUAUCCUACAUCAUAGUGCAGCUUAACUUAGCUAUAUUGAAGUCCUGAGAAUUUUAAACGAAUUCCAUAUAAUUGAUGUUAAAGUAUUUUGAAUACAUACCCAACAAAAAUAUUAAUCCAAAAGUUUUAACUCUUUUAUGAUGAACUCAGAAAUAUAUGUAAAAAUACUACUUUAAAGAACUUCUUAAAUAUUGUUUUUCUAAAGAAUUUGGAAAUUAAACAGAAAUUGUUUUCCUCUAUCAUUCAUGAAGAACUCAGUUUUUUAUUAGCUGUGUCAUAUAAUAAGAGCAUUUUGAAUUUUCGCAUCUCUAAUUUGGAUUCAAUUGUUGGACAGUUAGUUGAAUAUUAGUUUAUUUUGAGAAAAUAAAUAUGUCAUAAGUGUAAUUUCUUUUGCAUAUAUAAUAUGUCAUUCUAUGCUUGAUAAAAUGUAUGUGUACAUUUGUUAAUGUAUUGAUCAUGAACAAAAUGUACCAGUAACCAACUUAGGUAUAAUCACAUUCGUCAAGGCAGAUACCAUGGUAGUGUUCCUAACGUUGGCCUUAUGUUGUAAUCACUGUCCAUAAGGCAGAUACCAUGGUAGUGUUCUCAAUGUUGGCCUACUGUAGCUUUAAUUUGUUGUGAGAUACACAUCAUUUUAUUUACAAUUAAGUCUGAACAAGGUAUUGCAUUGUUUUAGACUUUUAGUUUUCUAUUUUCAGGGACAAGAACUAUUUUUAUAUAGUUUCAUUUCAAGAAUUGUUAAGCUUUAUUGGGCUCUUGAAUAGAGGGUCGGUUGUGCUUUUAAAGCAAUUCAUUGAAGGCAUGAUUUUGGGGUUUGAAUUCCGGGCAUUGUUUUAUUACUUUUAUAUCAUUCUUUUGGCGAAAGGCUCUUCAUUAGCUCACCUGAGCACAACAUGCUCAUGGUGAGCUUUUUUGAUCGCCUUUUUGUCCAUCGUGCAUCGUCCGUCGUGCGGCGUCAACAUUUGCCUUGUUAACACUCUAGAGGCCACAUUUAUUGUCCAAUCUUCAUGAAAUUUGGUCAGAAGAUUGGUCUCAAUGAUAUCUUGAAUGAGUUCAAAAAUGGUUACGUUUGCUUGAAAAACAUGGCUGCCAUGGGGCGGGGCAUUUUUCCUUAUAUGGCUUUAGUAAAAUCUUGUUAACACUCUAGAGGCCACAUUUAUUGUCUGAUCUUCAUGAAACUUGGUUAGAAGAAUUCAUCCCAAUAAUAUCUUGGACAAGUUCGAAAAUGAUGCCGGUUGGUUAAAAAACAUGGCCACCAGGGGGCGGGGCAUUUUUCCUUAUAUGGCUAUAGUAAAACCUUGUUAACAUUCUAGAGGCCACAUUUAUUUUCCGAUCUUCUUGAAACUUGCUCAGAUGAUUUGUCCUAAUGAUAUCUUUGAUGAGUUUGAAAAUGGUAACCUAUGCUUGAAAAACAUGACUGCCAAUGGCGGGGCAUUUUUCCUUAUAUGGCUAUAGUAAAAUCUUAUUAACACUCUAGAGGCCACAGUUAUUGUCCAAUCUUCAUGAAACUUUGUCAGAACAUUCAUUCCAUUCAUAUCUUGGACGAGUUUGAAAAUGAUGCCGGUUGGUUGAAAAACAUGGAAGCCAGAGGGCGGGGCAUUUUUCCUUAUAUGGCUAUAGAAAAUCUUGUUAACACUCUAAAGGCCACAUUUAUUUUCCAAUCUUCAUGAAACUUGGUGAGAAGAUUCAUCCCAAUAAUAUCUUGGACGAGUUAAAAAAUGGUUUUGGUUUCUUUAAAAACAUGGCCACCAGGGGGCAGGGCAUUUUUCCUUAUAUUGCUAUAUAUGGCUUUUGUAAAAUCUUGUUAACACUCUAGAGGCCACAUUUAUUGUCCAUUCUUCAUGAAAUAUGGCCAGAAGAUUUGUCUUAUUGAUAUCUUGGAUGAGUUCGAAAAUGGUUACAUUUGCUUAAAAAAACAUUGCUGGGCAGGGCAUUUUUCCUUAUAUGGCUAUAUAUGGUUAUAGUAGAAUCUUGUUAACACUCUAGAGACCAAUUUUAUUGUCCGAUCUUCAUGAAACUCAGUCAAAAGAUUCAUCCGAAUAAUAUCUUGGACGAGUUAAAAAAAGAUGCCGGUUGGUUGAAAAACAUGGCCACCACGGGGGUGGGGCAUUUGCUUAUAUGGCUGUAGUAAAACCUUGUUAACACUCUAGAGGUCACAUUUAUUUUCAGAUCAUCAUGAAAGUUGGUCAGAAGAUUUGUCCCAAUGAUAUCUUGGAUGAGUUCAAAAAUGGUUUUGGUUGCUUUAAAAACAUGGCCACCAGGGGCGGGGCAUUUUUCCUUAUAUGGCUAUAUAUAGCAAUAGUAAAACCUUGUUAACACUCUAGAGGCCACAAUUAUUGUCCAAUCUUCAUGAAACUUGGUCAGAAGAUUUGUCCCAAUGAUAUCUUGGAUGAGUUCAAGAAUGGUUGUGGUUGCUUUAAAAACUUGGCCACCAGGGGCGGGGAAUUUUUCCUUAUAUGGCUAUAUAUGGCUAUAGUAAAACCUUGUUAACAAUCUAGAGGUCACAUAUUUGUCCAAAUGAAACUUGGUCAGAAGAUUUGUCCCAAUAAUAUCUUGUUAUCUCAGGUGAGCGACUUUGGGCCUUUCAGGCCCUCUUGUUUAAUAUUUAUGCCCCCCUUCGAAGAAGAGGGGGUAUAUUGCUUUGCUCAUGUCGGUCUGUCGGUCGGUCUGUCGGUCUGUCCACCAGGUGGUUGUCAGACGAUAACUCAAGAACGCUUGGUCCUAGGAUCAUGAAACUUCAUAGGUACAUUGAUCAUGACUCGCAGAUGACCCGAAAUAGUAAAAUGAUUUUCGGAUGAUAACUCGAGAACGCUUUUGCCUAGGAUCAUGACACUUCAUAGGUACAUUGAUCGUGACUCGCAGAUGACCCCUAUUGAUUUUCAGGUCACUAGGUCAAAGGUCAAGGUCUCGGUGACAAAAAACGUAUUCACACAAUGGCUGCCACUACAACGGACAGCCCAUAUGGGGGGCAUGCAUGUUUUACAAACAGCCCUUGUUUAUGUAGUUCUUCUGGGAUUUUCUGUCAACCUGUGUACGAUAACGUCUUUUUAGUAAUUAUCUGUUUUCCAAGAAUAAGUUAUUUCAAAUACCGGUAUGUUUCAGCAAAGAGGGUCAGUGUUAUGCUUUUCCCAUGUUCAUUCAAUAUUGUUUUGUUUUUUUAAAGAACUUAGUUCUUCUCUAUGAAACGGUAACAAAGAAUUCUGGUACAUGUUUUUGUGGUUAGUUCGUGAUUUAUAAUGUCUUUUAUCACCUUAAUUUGAUAAAAUAGCUGUGACCAUUCUUGUAAUUGGGCCAAAGUGACAAUUGGAACUAGAAGCCAUUGUAAAUUGUCUAGUACAGUUUAAAAUCGGCUCCAAGAAAGUAUUAAUGAGAUUGGUAGAAUAAGACUUUGUUUGUUAUUGAAGUUCUCCCUGUAAAGCACAUGAAAAUUGUCUCUAAACUGAAAUCUUGGUUUAUGUAACCAAACAUUUAAAAAUUUAAUGGCUGACUCCAGUAGUUUAAAUCCCAGGUUGAAAGUUUUUCUGCUGCUUAUGUUUUUAGCAGCAUGUGAGAAACAUUCAUUCAAAAUGUUUUAUUUGUGUGCUAUAGCCCUGUACAGUCUUGAUUUGUACAGCCUCUGCAUUAGCAACAUAUUUUAUACAUCUGUUUUACGCUUUUUGUUAGCUUAUCAUGAUUUUCAGUGAAAUUAUUGCAGUAUGACAUGGUAAUGAGUUGUCAUAUGAUUAGUAAACUGUUUUAAAAUUUUGAGUUUGUGUCUCCUUCCAGUCAGAUAUAAAAUAUUAUUAUGCCCCCCUUCGAAGAAGAGGGGGUAUAUUGCUUUGCUCAUGUCGGUCGGUCGGUCUGUCGGUCCGUCCACCAGGUGGUUGUCAGACGAUAACUCAAGAACGCUUGGGCCUAGGAUCAUGAAACUUCAUAGGUACAUUGAUCAUGACUCGCAGAUGACCCCUAUUGAUUUUUAGGUCACUAGGUCAAAGGUCAAGGUCACGGUGACCCGAAAUAGUAGAAUGGUUUCCGGAUGAUAACUCAAGAACGCAUACGCCUAGGAUCAUGAAACUUCAUGGGUAGAUUGAUCAUGACUCGCAGAUGACCCCUAUUGAUUUUGAGGUCACUAGGUCAAAGGUCAAGGUCAUGGUGACCCGAAAUAGUAAAAUGGUUUUCGGAUGAUAACUCAAGAACGCAUAAGCCUAGGAUCAUGAAACUUCAUAGGUAGAUUGAUCAUGACUUGCAGAUGACCCCUAUUGAUUUUGAGGUCACAAGGUCAAAGGUCAAGGUCACGGUGACCCGAAAUAGUAAAAUGAUUUUCGGAUGAUAACUCAAGAACGCUUUUGCCUAAGAUCAUGACACUUCAUAGGUACAUUGAUCGUGACCCGCAGAUGACCCCUAUUGAUUUUCAGGUCACUAGGUCAAAAGUCAAGGUCACAGUGACAAAAAUCGUAUUCACACAAUGGCUGCCACUACAACGGACAGCCCAUAUGGGGGGCAUGCAUGUUUUACAAACAGCCCUUGUUUCAUUUAUAGAAUAUAGCACAAAUGUAUUAGCAGGCUUUUGUGAGCAUUUCUGUUGAUCUGGGCAAAUAUUCAUAAGGCUUUUUUUGGAAAAUUCUUUGCCCAAUCUCAUGAAAUUAUCUUUUUAUGCCCCCGGUAGGGUGGCAUAUAGCAGUUGAACUGUCUGUCUAUCAAUCUGUCUGCCCGUCCGAAAACUUUAACAUUGGCCAUAACCUUUGCAAUAUUGAAGAUAGGAACUUGAUAUUUGGCAUGCAUGUGUAUCUCAUAAAGCUGCACAUUUUGAGUGGUGAAAGGUCAAGGUCAUCCUUCAAGGUAAAAAAAUGCAAGCCAAGGGAAAUAAUAAGCUUUAAAAUAAAGAUAAUUUCUAAACCUGCCAAAUGAUAGUAUAUUGAAAUUUUAUUUCAAAGCGGCGCAAUAGGGGGCAUUUUGUUUCUGACAAACACAUCUCUUGUUUUUUUAGCUCACAUGAGCACAACGUGCUAAUGUUGAGCUUUUGUGAUCGCCUUUUGUCUGUCGUCCGUUGUGCAACGUCAACAUUUGCCUUGUUCACUCUCUAGAGGCCACAUUUAUUGUCCAAUCUUCAUGAAAUUUGGUCAGAAGAUUGGUCUUAAUGAUAUCUUGGAUGAGUUCGAAAAUGGUUACGUUUGCUUGAAAAACAUGGCUGCCAUGGGGCGGGGCUUUUUUCCUUAUAUGGCUAUAGUAAAAUCUUGUUAACACUCUAGAGACCACAUUUAUUGCCCAAUCUUCAUGAAAUUUGGUCAGAAGAUUAAUCCCAAUAAUAUCUUGGACAAGUUCGAAAAUGAUGCCGGUGGGUUGAAAAACAUGGCUUCCAGGGGGCGGGGCAUUUUUCCUAAUAUGGCGAUAGUAAAACCUUGUUAACACUCUAGAGGCCACAUUUAUUGUCCAAUCUUCAUGAAACUUGCUCAGAUGAUUUGUCCCAAUGAUAUCUUGGAUGAGUUCAAAAAUGGUAGCCUUUGCUUGAAAAACAUGGCUGCCAAGGGGCGGGGCAUUUUCCUUAAUAUGGCUAUAUAUGGCUAUAUUAAAAUCUUGUUAACACUCUAGAGGCCACAUUUAUUGUCCGAUCUUCAUGAAACUUGGUCAGAACAUUUAUCCCAAUGAUAUCUUAGACGAGUUUGAAAAUGAUGCCGGUUUAUUGAAAAACAUGGCCACUAGGGGGCGGGUCAUUUUUUCAUAUAUGACUAUAGUAAAACCUUGUUAACACUCUAGUUAUUUUAUAAAGUGCUGCUUUCAUGUAUUCUUACAAUGAAGACAAUGUUAAGUUAAUAUCCUUCCUAUUUCGCAUAUUAAACUUGCAAUAAUCUAUAGAUUCUUAAAAUUAAAUAACACCAUUAAUUCAUUACCUCUUUAAAAUUAUUUAUUUAAUUCAGUUGCCCAAUCUUCAUGAACUUUGGUCAGAACAUUUGUUUCCUGUGUAGUUAAGUUUGGUUUUAUUAUGUCAUUAUUAUUUACCAUUGACUGUAUUAUUUAAUUUUUCAUAACACAGAAUUUUCAUAACA